GAUUGAACGCUGGCGGCAGGCCUAACACAUGCAAGUCGAGCGGUAACAGAGAGGUGCUUGCACCUUUGCUGACGAGCGGCGGACGGGUGAGUAAUGCUUGGGAACAUGCCUUGAGGUGGGGGACAACAGUUGGAAACGACUGCUAAUACCGCAUAAUGUCUACGGACCAAAGGGGGCUUCGGCUCUCGCCUUUAGAUUGGCCCAAGUGGGAUUAGCUAGUUGGUGAGGUAAUGGCUCACCAAGGCGACGAUCCCUAGCUGGUUUGAGAGGAUGAUCAGCCACACUGGGACUGAGACACGGCCCAGACUCCUACGGGAGGCAGCAGUGGGGAAUAUUGCACAAUGGGCGCAAGCCUGAUGCAGCCAUGCCGCGUGUGUGAAGAAGGCCUUCGGGUUGUAAAGCACUUUCAGUCAGGAGGAAAGGUUAGUAGUUAAUACCUGCUAGCUGUGACGUUACUGACAGAAGAAGCACCGGCUAACUCCGUGCCAGCAGCCGCGGUAAUACGGAGGGUGCGAGCGUUAAUCGGAAUUACUGGGCGUAAAGCGUACGCAGGCGGUUUGUUAAGCGAGAUGUGAAAGCCCUGGGCUCAACCUGGGAACUGCAUUUCGAACUGGCAAACUAGAGUGUGAUAGAGGGUGGUAGAAUUUCAGGUGUAGCGGUGAAAUGCGUAGAGAUCUGAAGGAAUACCGAUGGCGAAGGCAGCCACCUGGGUCAACACUGACGCUCAUGUACGAAAGCGUGGGGAGCAAACGGGAUUAGAUACCCCGGUAGUCCACGCCGUAAACGAUGUCUACUAGAAGCUCGGGUCCUCGGACUUGUUUUUCAAAGCUAACGCAUUAAGUAGACCGCCUGGGGAGUACGGCCGCAAGGUUAAAACUCAAAUGAAUUGACGGGGGCCCGCACAAGCGGUGGAGCAUGUGGUUUAAUUCGAUGCAACGCGAAGAACCUUACCUACACUUGACAUACAGAGAACUUACCAGAGAUGGUUUGGUGCCUUCGGGAACUCUGAUACAGGUGCUGCAUGGCUGUCGUCAGCUCGUGUUG
Molecule: ribosomal RNA, 1044 nt
Filed under: Pseudoalteromonas sp. BB67
Lineage: Bacteria; Pseudomonadati; Pseudomonadota; Gammaproteobacteria; Alteromonadales; Pseudoalteromonadaceae
Description: bacterial SSU rRNA
Rfam family: Bacterial small subunit ribosomal RNA
Source: RNAcentral